GCAUCCAUAGUCUAACGGAUAGAAUGUCAGACUCCGACUCUGAUGGUGUGGGUUCGAUUCCCGCUGGAUGCA
Molecule: transfer RNA, 72 nt
Filed under: Eubacterium oxidoreducens
Lineage: Bacteria; Bacillati; Bacillota; Clostridia; Eubacteriales; Eubacteriaceae
Also listed under: 1 other name
Rfam family: tRNA
About the family: Transfer RNA (tRNA) molecules are approximately 80 nucleotides in length. Their secondary structure includes four short double-helical elements and three loops (D, anti-codon, and T loops). Further hydrogen bonds mediate the characteristic L-shaped molecular structure. tRNAs have two regions of fundamental functional importance: the anti-codon, which is responsible for specific mRNA codon recognition, and the 3' end, to which the tRNAs corresponding amino acid is attached (by aminoacyl-tRNA synthetases). tRNAs cope with the degeneracy of the genetic code in two manners: having more than one tRNA (with a specific anti-codon) for a particular amino acid; and 'wobble' base-pairing, i.e. permitting non-standard base-pairing at the 3rd anti-codon position.
Source: Rfam by way of RNAcentral